CCUCACCCUCGUAAGACUACCCGCUGAACUUAAGCAUAUCAAUAAGCGGAGGAAAAGAAACCAACAGGGAUUGCCUCAGUAACGGCGAGUGAAGCGGCAAAAGCUCAAAUUUGAAAUCCCCCGGGAAUUGUAAUUUGAAGAGAUUUGGGUCCGGCCGGCAGGGGUUAAGUCCACUGGAAAGUGGCGCCACAGAGGGUGACAGCCCCGUGAACCCCCUCAACGCCCUCAUCCCAGAUCUCCAAGAGUCGAGUUGUUUGGGAAUGCAGCUCUAAGUGGGUGGUAAAUUCCAUCUAAAGCUAAAUACCGGCGAGAGACCGAUAGCGAACAAGUACAGUGAUGGAAAGAUGAAAAGCACUUUGAAAAGAGAGUGAAAAAGUACGUGAAAUUGUUGAAAGGGAAGGGCUUGCAAGCAGACACUUAACUGGGCCAGCAUCGGGGCGGCGGGGAGCAAAACCACCGGGGAAUGUACCUUUCGAGGAUUAUAACCCCGGCCCUUACUCCCAUACCACCCCGAGGCCUGCAAUCUAAGGAUGCUGGCGUAAUGGUUGCAAGUCGCCCGUCUUGAAACACGGACCAAGGAGUCUAACAAUCAUGCAAGUGUUUGGGCCCAAAACCCAUACGCGCAAUGAAAGUAACCGGAGCGAACCUUACCGGUGCAGCUCCAGCCACACCGAGACCCAAAUCCCGGUGUGAGCAAGCAUGGCUGUUGGGACCCGAAAGAUGGUGAACUAUACCUGGAUAGGGUGAAGCCAGAGGAAACUCUGGUGGAGGCUCGUAGCGGUUCUGACGUGCAAAUCGAUCGUCGAAUCUGGGUAUAGGGGCGAAAGACUAAUCGAACCAUCUAGUAGCUGGUUCCUGCCGAAGUU
RNAcentral lists this ribosomal RNA (866 nucleotides) under Metschnikowia aff. pulcherrima P01A016. RNAcentral describes it as "LSU rRNA". It matches the Rfam family "Eukaryotic large subunit ribosomal RNA", at positions 1 to 968 of the family's 3401-position model. Lineage: Eukaryota; Fungi; Ascomycota; Pichiomycetes; Serinales; Metschnikowiaceae. The record is from RNAcentral.